RNAcentral lists this long non-coding RNA (520 nucleotides) under Physcomitrium patens. RNAcentral's name for it is "long non-coding RNA (PPAT_LNC004130)". The record is from RNAcentral. Lineage: Eukaryota; Viridiplantae; Streptophyta; Bryopsida; Funariales; Funariaceae.
UUCAAGGAGGCUGCCUGAGGCCUUAUUAGAAAUUAGGGUUUCUCUUUCAAAGUCAUUCGAGCUUUGAAGGCUAGGCUCAGCAAGUUAAGGGUUUUGGGUAUAAUUUGAAUAAAGUUUUUUUAUGAUUUCAAGUUUUUUUUGAAGGAGAUAUAGGUGUUCAAAGUUAAGGUGUCUAAUUUGUGCCUACUGUCAUUCUUUGAAGCAUAACAUAUGCGUACAGAGAGCAAUGAAAGAUCGGCAACUUAAGUUGGAGAGAGCACUUUCUUGGCUAUACUUUACAUAUAUUGUUUGAUGAAUUUCAAGUCUGAAUGAAGGAGUUAUAGACAUUUGAAGACAGCACAUAUAAUUCAAUGGGAGUAAGUGAGUCAUUUUGUUGAUAGUAAUGGUUGGAGCCAUAUCUUGAGUUCUUCGACGAAUUUUUGGUUCAACAUUUUUAUAAGUGUGAAUUAUUAAGUUAAAGAGCUAUAGAUAAAAGUUUCAUGGUAUUUGAGUACUUAUUUUGUGAGAUAUAAAGAAAUUA